AGAGCGAACGCUGGCGGCAGGCUUAACACAUGCAAGUCGAGCGGGCGUAGCAAUACGUCAGCGGCAGACGGGUGAGUAACGCGUGGGAACAUACCUUUUGGUUCGGAACAACCCAGGGAAACUUGGGCUAAUACCGGAUAAGCCCUUACGGGGAAAGAUUUAUCGCCGAAAGAUUGGCCCGCGUCUGAUUAGCUAGUUGGUGAGGUAACGGCUCACCAAGGCGACGAUCAGUAGCUGGUCUGAGAGGAUGAUCAGCCACAUUGGGACUGAGACACGGCCCAAACUCCUACGGGAGGCAGCAGUGGGGAAUAUUGGACAAUGGGCGCAAGCCUGAUCCAGCCAUGCCGCGUGAGUGAUGAAGGCCCUAGGGUUGUAAAGGCUCUUUUGUGCGGGAAGAUAAUGACGGUACCGCAAGAAUAAGCCCGGCUAACUUCGCGCCAGCAGCCGC
Molecule: ribosomal RNA, 448 nt
Filed under: uncultured bacterium
Lineage: Bacteria
Description: SSU rRNA
Rfam family: Bacterial small subunit ribosomal RNA
Source: RNAcentral